GGCAGUUCUCGGGUGACGCACCCUGGAAUCAGGCUCUGGGUGCGUCACCUGAGAACUGCA
Molecule: non-coding RNA, 60 nt
Organism: Myotis davidii
Lineage: Eukaryota; Metazoa; Chordata; Mammalia; Chiroptera; Vespertilionidae
Source: Rfam